AGCUCCAAUAGCGUAUAUUAAUGCUGUUGCAGUUGAAACGCUCGUAGUUGGAUUUCUGGAUGAGACGCGUGGUCGGCCACUGGCUGAACAACGCGGCUUGUCCUUUUGUCCAAGGAAGUUGCACGCAAGUGUGACUGACUUGGGCCAGUUACUUUGAGAAAAUUAGGGUGUUCAAAGCAGGCCAAUGCCUUGAAUACGUUAGCAUGGAAUAACGGAAUAGGACUUUGGUUCUAUUUUGUUGGUGUCUAGGACCGAAGUAAUGAUUAAUAGGGACAGUUGGGUUAAAAAAAGGUUAAAAAGGGACAGUUGGGGGCAUUCAUAUUUAAUUGUCAGAGGUGAAAUUCUUGGAUUUAUUAAAGAUGAACUACUGCGAAAGCAUUUGCCAAGGAUGUUUUCA
RNAcentral lists this ribosomal RNA (397 nucleotides) under uncultured eukaryote. Its description in RNAcentral is "SSU rRNA". It matches the Rfam family "Eukaryotic small subunit ribosomal RNA", at positions 587 to 972 of the family's 1831-position model. The record is from RNAcentral.